UUUAACAACAUUAAAGAGAAAGAAGGUUUUAGAGAUUCAUUACCCUUGAAGCUCAUCCUUGUUUACAUAAGGGAUUCACCCAAGUGGAGGGCCUUCAAGUCACCUCCUAGCUCCUUGGAUCUUCCUUGUGAUUUCCUUCCUUUUGAUGCUCCUUUGCUCCUUGAGGAUGUGAGGAAAGGAUCUCCAAAACACAAAAGAUUUGGUGUCUCUAAGUCUCCACACCAAGGAUGAGGUGUGAAGAUAAAAUGGAUGACUUAGAGAAGAAAAGAUUGCUAGCUAAAUCCUCUCUAAGUGGCCGGCCUCCUUGUAGAGAAAAGAGAGAAAAUGUUUCACCUCUUUGCCUCAAGAAAACCCUAAUGAGAAAAAAGCUAUAAAGUUAACUUUAUACUACAUCACAUUUAAGUGGCAAACUUGUAAUUAAUUCAAGUUUGCAUCCACUCACCCUUAUGCCCAGCCUUGUCUUUGUUAUUGGGCUAAUUGCUCAUUUUGUUUUAGUUGUCAUACAACUUAAACAUAAUGGGCUUUGUGGGCCAAAACACUUUUGGGCCCCGAAACCCAAAACCAACUUAAAAGCCCAAUACGAAACUUUCGUAAAAUUAAUUAACUAAUUAAUUAAUCUUGACCAUUCUCAAUUAAACCAUUUAAUUUCUUAUCCCUCUCAUUUAUAUUUCUUCACUUUCAUCAUUACUCGGUGUACGAUCCAUUAGGUUCCAAUUAGCGAGGCAGUGGGCGAUUGUUACUCUUAACGAUCGAUUGUGAAUUGAAACAACAUUUCAAUUCUCCCUUUGUUGAAGAUUAGUGUUUGCUAAUCUUCAGGGCUUCUACAAACCAUGAGUGACACCUAGCAGCAUGUCAUGGCUACCCAAGCUAAAUAGAAUUGGUUGGAGAACCUAUCCAGUUACAAUUUCAAUGCAAUACGGUCAUUCUCUAAUACAAUACUCUUAAUCACAUUGUUUGAGUGAUAGUUUGUUUCAUGUCUACUAUCCAAUGUAAUACUUAUCUAUAUGAUUCAAUUGAAUAUGAUUUGGAACAUACUUCCUAAGUCAUAUUCAUAUGGUUUGGCCAAAGACUCCCGAAUCAUAUCUUAGAGUAUUCUCCUUCCACUAUGGAAGGUUAGAGAUCCCUUGUUGUGCAUUCAUAUGCCUACAUGACUAGAUAGCUUGACCCCAACAAUGUCGUGGACACUUUCGAUGGAAUGCCUUUGACAUGAUCAAAGAUCAAGGACCUAACCAUUAGACAUCUACGAUGCCUCAGGUCAAAUGACUACUUUGCAUAUUGUAACUUACGAGUUCUUACAUGACAUGUAUGUUCGAACUCUCUUUUGAUCGUUGUUCAGUGUACUCGAUUACUCUUUCAAGCACCUAUAUGUUUGUCUUAGUGUCCAACACUAAAUGACUUGAGACUAGUCAUACACACGCUUGAGUUGACAUAACACAUACUAACCUUAGCGGAUUGUCAAUGCCUAAUUGGCAAUCCUAUGGCUAGGAAUGUUUUAGGAAUGAACAUAAGAGAAAGGUCUCGUUAAUCUAACUUACUUAAAUCACUUCUCUCUUAGAUCAAAUACAUUCCUUGGAUUCCCUUAUUGCUUAAACACAUGAUACAAUAAAUAGUGAUUAACAAUAAGCUUUGCCUUCAUUAAACAUAUAAUAGUUUAAUACAUUAAGUAUUCCAAAAGCUAUUACAUCAAAUGAGUGGCUUUGUGGGCAUACUUCCAACAAUGGGUGUAGUAGGUGAAUGUUUGGUAAUGAGUAGAUGUAAUGGGUGUAGUGGAUGGAUGUUUGGUAAUGAGUGGAUGUAAUG
This 1800-nucleotide long non-coding RNA is filed under the name Malus domestica (apple). RNAcentral describes it as "long non-coding RNA (MDOM_LNC006799)". The record is from RNAcentral. Lineage: Eukaryota; Viridiplantae; Streptophyta; Magnoliopsida; Rosales; Rosaceae.